ACUCCUACUGGAGGCAGCAGUGGGGAAUUUUGGACAAUGGGCGAAAGCCUGAUCCAGCCAUGCCGCGUGAGUGAAGAAGGCCUUCGGGUUGUAAAGCUCUUUCGGCUGGGAAGAAAUCGCACAGGCUAAUACUCUGUGUGGAUGACGGUACCAGCACAAGAAGCACCGGCUAACUACGUGCCAGCAGCCGCGGUAAUAC
This 199-nucleotide ribosomal RNA is filed under the name uncultured bacterium. RNAcentral's name for it is "partial 16S ribosomal RNA". It matches the Rfam family "Bacterial small subunit ribosomal RNA", at positions 335 to 526 of the family's 1533-position model. The record is from RNAcentral.